Molecule: ribosomal RNA, 222 nt
Filed under: Rhogogaster sp. YI-2013b
Lineage: Eukaryota; Metazoa; Arthropoda; Insecta; Hymenoptera; Tenthredinidae
Description: partial 16S ribosomal RNA
Source: RNAcentral
ACUGUCUUAAAUUUAUUUUUAUUUAAAUUUAAUUUUUAAGUUAAAAAGCUUAAAUAUUUUUAAAGGACGAGAAGACCCUAUAGAGUUUUAUAAAUAAAUUAAUUUUUAUUUUUAAUUUAUUUAAAAAUUAAUUUAUUUAUUUUGUUGGGGCGAUGGAAAAAUUUAAUUAACUUUUUUAAAUUUAUUAUCAUUGAUUUAUGAAUUAUUUUUGAUCCUUAAUUA